CUCCAUGGCCUCUGCAUCAGCUGCUGCCUCCAGGUUCCUGCUCUGUUUCAAUUCCUGUCUUGACUUCCUUCAGUGAUGAACAGCGAUGUGGAAGUGACCUGUGUGACCUGCAGAUAACAGAGGAGGGCUCCAGAGGACUUCCAUGUCCGUAAGAAUGGACAGAAUGGGACAACUCGGGCAGACCAAACAAGUGCCAGGAAGCCUUCAGGAUGACUCGUCAAACUUAAAGUCUCCAUCCUAAAAGCCAAGGCAGGUUCUGAAGACUGUGGACUCUGGGCUGGUAUUUAUAGCACUCAACGAGCGAAACACAAGACUAACAAGAAACACAGUGUACUGACACGAUUCCUGAUGUUACAGUUGUGUGAUGUAUUAACAUUUGUUAAAGGCUCUCAUUGUAUUCUCACAUUUGAUGGUUGCUAAAAAUGACUACUCAGUGUAAUUAGUUUAAAUGCAUUGUUGUUCUGAGUCCCGUGCUUUUUAAUUACUUUAAAUUGCUUGAAUUAGUUGAGUACUAUGCACGACUCUUCACUCUCUUGGACAAACGAUUUAUAUUUAUAGAAAGAUGUAGGCCCCUAUAGAAAGAC
Molecule: long non-coding RNA, 584 nt
Filed under: Mus musculus (house mouse)
Lineage: Eukaryota; Metazoa; Chordata; Mammalia; Rodentia; Muridae
Description: predicted gene, 47272
Source: RNAcentral